UCCUAUAUGAUGAUUAUCAUGUGUAGUUCCUAAACAUUAAUAUGAGGUGCUUGGUUGGCUGAUAAAUAAUUUCCAUGCAUGCUAGCCCGACGCUAUACUUUUAUAGUCAAAUAUGUUAAAUUAUUAUUAUUUCAGUGAAGCAAAGUCUCUGAGUACUCCAUGAAAAAACACAAAUGCAAGUGAAAUGCUCUACAGCAAACUGCAGUAAGCAAAUGAAAAUGUCUGAACUGCUGUGAUUUUGAAAGAUUGAGCGUUUCUUUCUAACAGUUUUGAAUUAUGACUAUAUGGGGGGAAAAAACAAUCACAACAAACAGUUUUAUUUGAAUUUGCACGUGAUAUUUUUCUGAGGAGCCAUCACAUCGUCUGAGCUGCACUUUUGAGACAUCCGUGUUCAUUCGAGGGAAGAUUCUUAUUCGCUGCAGGUUGGAGCAACAAGUUCUCAGAUACAUAACGAAGGACUGAGUGAGCAUCAGUGCAAUUUAAUGAUCUUCUUUUUGUACCCAGUUGCUAAGCAACCUACACCGUUCUGUCUGAAGCCACAGCAUCCCAAAAGAAACAUCACGUCAUUGGUCUGAGGAGCGGAGGAAUGAUAACAGGGAAUGCAAAGCCAUGGGGGUUUAAGCAGUCUCUUUAUUUUUUAUUUUUUUUACUCUCUCAAGGUGCUCACAUGCUACGUUUGCAAUAGCACUUUUGUAUGGAUUAAAGCAAGUGUUUCACUGUAACCAAAGGUGUGAUAAUAUGAAGAGAUUUAAUCGCCUUCUGCUUGGUGGUCUAAGCAUGGAGACGUGACUGUUACAGUAGUCAAGGCUGGAGCCCCUUGUGUAAGCCUGCUGGGCUAAUCUAACAACCAUUCCUUGUCUGGAGAGCACAUGGAGGGGGCCUCUUUUGUUUAGAUGCCAUUAACCGAACACCGGUGUCGUAUGGGGAGAAAAAAGGAGCGAAUUUAAACCAACUGCUUUAAGUUUCUCCCUCUGAAAACCACUGCUUCAGGGCCUGACAGCGGUCUGGUUUUGGCAGCGAGCAGGAGAGAAGCACGUUCAGGACAGGAAGGCUUCAGCAUCACCCACUAUUCACUCCCUCUCUGAGUCAAUUUUCUGCUGUGAAUCAUAGAGGUGGAGGGGAAAAGAGAGAAAUAAGAUGGAGUGAGAGCUGUUUCUACAAAGCCACAGCUUGAGCGAAAUCAAGCAUUUCUGUUUCCCUUCUCCCCAAAUCCCAGGAGAGGGCUGCUUUUCCUUCUGCGGUUGUUGUUCUGGCUCCACCGCACAGAGAAAUCACAGAAAGCAAAGCUUUUUUUAAGACAACAGUGGGCAACAAAUGGGCUUGGUAAACUUCUGAGAGGACAGACGUCAGAAUUGCACUUUUUGCCCACUGAGGCAAUUGAUGCUUUGUGUAUAUGAUUAUAGGAAUUCAUUAAACAUUUCCGCAGGGUUAAAGUGAUCAUUUCUGUGACCCUAUUUGAUUUUGUAAUAUUCUAUAUUCAGUGUAGUUUUGCUUUGUUUUUGUACACAAAAUUAUGCAGAGAUGGUGGAGGUGCUUAUUUCAGCCCUGAGUGGUGCCUGCAGGCUUUCUCAGGCUGCAUAUAGGGACUCAAGAAGCUCCAGUAAGAAUAUAGGGUAGACUGUAUGUAGCUUGAGAGGCAAAACCCAGCACUCUUUGCUUGUUUAUUGCUGUGAGCACACGGUAAUAAUUGAAAGGCGACUGAGAUGAGUGCAUUAACAUUUUUGACAUCUUCUCUCUGGCUGGACAGCAAGAGGACAAUUAGAAUUUUUAGUAGGAAAAUCAAACAGAAAAAAAAAAAUGAAUGGGACAAAAAUAGGAUUUUGAGAAGUGAGGGUGACAUGCCCCGCCCAUCCCAGUGGAAAUUAUGCCCUUGCCUUGUUAUAAAGUAUUUUUCAAAGCACUAUUUACAUUUAUUUAUUUAUUUUUUUAAUUAUCUAAAGUACAGUUCAUAAUAUAAAUUGUAGUUUUAAUGGCAAGCAUGAUGACUGCCUCGGACCAGACAGUUUGACUAAAUUCAGGAAAUACCAGUGCACAUUCUGCUACUGCUCUCAGCAUACCUUCACUACAGCCUUCAUCAUACUGAAUGCUGCCCUCACUUGGUAAUGAAUGCCACUUCUUUCCUGCUGGCAGCUCUUUGUCAUCUUCCUUCUAGCUAGCCUUGGCUUCCCCUUCAAAAGCUUUUACUGGAGUUUUGAAGUGAAUCAGUCUCCACGGCUUCACUUCUCCCAAGCUGGCACCAUGUGGCAAGCUUGUCAAUUUUUUGUUAGUUGAAAACAAAACAAUUUGUGUGUGUUUGGCAUGCAUGUGAGGGUGCCAGUGCUGCUGGCUGUUUCCUAAAUCUGGUUGCAAGCUUGGCACCAGAUUCCUGUAGCUCAAACAUGUUUGACUGUAGUUGGAUGCAAAAAUUUGUCAUGUGGGAUUUAUUAUACUCUUACAUAUGUUUUCAUUGGUGAUGCAUCAGACAUGGCACUUGUUGCCCAGAGAUUUAAAUUCAUAAUGUUGCCAGAUAUGAUCUAUGUGUGGUUGAGUACAUUAGUGGGAAAUAUAAAUCACUAGAGGUGGCUGGCCGAGCUUUGUUUUCAUUUGAAGUUAUUUCAGUUAAAUUGUGAUGGCGCUCUCAGGUUGUCCACUAUCACCUGAGGGACAAGAACAAUUUAUCAAAUUGUAGAUCAAAUUGAAUGCAGCUGACCAUAUCACUGCAAUAUACUUGUCCAGAAUAUAUCCCUAUUUAUAGGAUACUCAGCAUUAUCUUAGCACAGGUUCAUUUAAGGUGGCAGCAUGUUUUCUAAGCUCACUCAUCAAAUAAAAAUGGCUUUGCAAGCAUCCGAGGAGAAUUACACCACGCUUGUUGCUCACUGUAGCUUUAGGCACAUUUAAUGUUGUGGAAUAUUUCCCUUGUAUCAAGAUACUCCAAAAGUAUUGGCUGCAGCUUUUCCUAUCUUCAGCUUCUAUGCACAAUUACAUAUAUUACAGGCAAGGAGUGCUGUUCUGAGCUACAACACCAUACAUACUUGAUGGUGUAAUACAAUUAGCAAAAUCCAAAUUGCCAAAAUGCUGAAUCGAGGUUACUGUAUAUACUAACUGUUAAUGCUGUACAUUAGAAAUACGUUCUAGUAACUGAAAUGGAACUGUAAUGGGAGGAGGAAUAGACGUGAAACAAAGUGUUCUGAAAACAACCAGAAGCUAGUUAUUGUAGUGUGACCUGCUGACUUGGUCUGUUUACCACCACAGUCAGAAGUUGGAGCUGCAACAGAGGCUGUGAAUCACAGUUUGUGAAGCCAGUUAACGUAAUUAUUGAUAUUUUUUUAAUAACAAUAAAUGACAAUGUGAAAUCUACGUGACGGUGUGAAAGGGGUCGCUUGUAGUGGUGAAUCUACUGGGAAUUAUCACCUGAAUCUGCAGCUCCCCUCUGCUUUAUGGAGCUUUAUAGCGAAUUCCAGCUCAUUGUACUGCUCUUCAAUGUACAAUGCAACUUUAGUGUUUUGGUUCACUCUCACAGCUCUCAUUGUGCCAUUUUUGGCCGCAGUAGGCAGCUGUUUUCACUGAAAAAUCUGAAAACCCACUGUACGCAACCUGCACAGCAUCAUACAGACAGACACAGUUAGCAACUAGCUGGUGAACAUAGUGGAAUAUAGUGAUUAUUGGACUUACAGUCAAACAACUGCUGGAUGUGUAAAUAUGCAACUGUUUGCUAACAAGUUCGCCAUAUCAACUUAAAAGGUGGUGAUAUGUCAAUGCUGUAUUCACAGCUUGUUCCUGCUGCCCCCAAGUGGCCAAAAAAAUCAGUUAUUGCAGGUUUAAGAUACUUUGUCUUGCAGUUAUAACUUAAUCACACGGACAUUAUAUACAUUUUUAGGUUCAAUGUGACAUUUUGACGACUUUAAAACAUUCUGAGGAUAUCAUUAACUCCAAUGUCCAUCGCAUAUAUAUGUCCAUAACUCUGCCAAGAAAUCAUAGAAAUAAGAUGCUUCUUGUCUGUACAUUCAAUUCUCAAUUACAUCUGGGGGGCACAUUGUCAGACAUUGAAAAGCCCUGACCUAGAGCCCAAUCGGUUACAAUAGAUAAAGGAAUAUAAUUGGAUUGAGCUUCACAUAACCGACUCAAAUUCAAAAAUGACUUGCUUGGGUCAUCCUUAGUACACAUAAAUAUAAUAGCCAAAAGUACAUUUGUUAUAAUGAUCUGCUUACUUCAUGUUACACAAUCUCUGCUUUUAGGCUUGUAAGAAGUAUCUAACACUGUAGAUGUUAACUUAAAAUGUUUAUAUAUUAAAGUGCAAUGUUAAGUUAAAUACCAUACUUCUUUCUUAUAUGAAUGCAGUGUCUCUUGCAGAUUAUAAAUAACUGUCAUUAUGCCCAGCUAUGAGAUGAUUUUUUUUUUUUAACAAUGAGUGAGUUGUCAGUUGUAGACAGCUAAACAAACUGGCCCACUCCACAGAAAGUGAAUUUUCUUUAGUAAUAGUGUAUGGCAGAAUCCAAUAAAAGCUUUGACCCAAUGCAGUGACCGUGAGCAAUCCGUGUGCCUGUUUAAGUAAAUGGUUCAUUUGCCUUUACAUCUGUCAGCAAUUAGGUGUAAUUAUUUAAGCCAACAAGGGCAGCUUCAAAGAGUGAAAUGCAUCCCACAGUGCCGCUCGGGCGGGGAUUGUUUUCAGCACAUUAUUUUCCUCCUUGUUGUUUGUUCUCAUUUGAUCAGGACAGUCUGCACUUCAUCUUCUUUCGCAGUAUGCUUUGCUUAUUCAGGUUGUCACCACAUGGCUAGUGUGCAUGUUAUCUUGUUCUUGUUUGCUUUAUGCUGAAAUCCCUUUAUUCAUAUUCUUCUACACACAACAGACGACCUGCCAGCUGAUGUCUCUGUGUGAAAUAGUCUAAUAUAGGCUUUCACAAAAAAAAAAAAACUCUCAGUGCUCUGAUUCAGUAACACAGCAACACUGUUGGUGUACAUCUUUCUGCACCCAUUAAAGGGCCACUCUGCCUGCGCUGCUUACUCUGUGAUUAACAUGAAAAAAGCCAGGCUGUAUCUGCUCCUCAUGUUUAUUUAAUCAGGGUAAAUGUUGUGGGUUCUUGUGGCUCAUACUGAAUAUGUUUGUUUUUCAUUAAGUCCUGUGCUCUGCUGGCAUCUCUGCAGAAGGCCUGAUUUCCCUCCUAUUAAGAUGCAUAGUGGAAAAAUCCUUUUCAGCAACAGUAUUUUUAGGAAUAACUCCAACCUCCGACCCACUACAGGUCUGGUGUUACAUUGUCACUCUGGAAAUGUCUCGUUUUCUAAGCAUGAUUAUUGUGGCCACAAUGCAGCUAUUUGAUCGCUAUCUUUGAUACGAUAUGUGUGGCCCGCGCCGCUUUGUUUUAUUUGAGAAAAUCAGUUGUUGUGUGUCUCUCAGGAUGCCUGAUAAGACUGAAUGACACAAAUGGAAGCUGGUUGCAGAGAUCUCCCAUUACCAGAGCUCCCCUCGAUCCUGUCUGCCCUCCUAGAAGGAAAAAUAAUCUGUAUUUGUUGCACAGCCAGACACAGCCAGGAAAUCAGAUCGUCAUACACAGGAUAUCCCCUUGUCUUUUUUUGCGCACCCUUCUGACUCAAAUGGAAAAAAAAAAAAUCUGCUAUGAUGAGAUUAGUGCCAGGAAAUUGGCUAGGUGUCUUUGUGUGUGUCUGUGUACAUUUUGUGUGGACACAAUUUUGUCAGGCCCCACAAUUGUUUUGAGAGUGCUAUUAUGAGAAAGAAGGCAACUAAUGUAGAACAAACAUCUUGUAGAUGGUUAUGUCUGUCAGGGGAAUAAUUUACUGCCUACCUGAAAAGCUCUGCUAGCCUCACACAACUCCCCCCACUUGCUUCUGUGUAUAAUGCAGACAUUGGCUCAUCUGCACCUGAACAUUCUCAGCAGGUGUGUGUGUGUGUGUGUUUUUGUGUGAGCACCUGCAUCUAAUCUGAGAGACUACAGAAGGUAGACAGACGUUUGGACUAGGAGGGAAGUAUGGAGCGAGGAGGGGUUCCAGUUUUGAAGUUUUGCUUUGGCUUUUCUGGCACACAUUUCCAGUCUGUCUCAUACUGUAGAGCACAGUUUAUGGACAUAAUGUGAUAAAUCUGUCUUUUCCAAAUAAUGCUGUGGUACUCUCAAUUUCUCACCCUCCAUUACUUUAAUGGUUUUAUUGUUGAGGGAGGCGUCUGUAACCCUUUCCCAGUGGCUCAGACAAAGCAAGGCACCAUCAUCCCUGACUGAGAUUACACGUUCUUCAUUACAAUUCUCAUAAAUGAUGAUUAUUAUUUAUUAUUAUUAUUUAGGUAAUGUAUGGAGAUUACUUAAAGGCAGACUGAUGGUUUGUCUCAGCCAGCAACUAAAGUAAGUUUUACAAGAAUUUGCCAAAUUUUAAGAUUAGUGGCAAACUAAGAAACAGUUAGGAUACAUACAGGCAGCUUUCGUUUUUUGCUUGUAACAAUAACAAUUUGUUAUUAGAUUAAUGAGCGUGCUGUGGUUGAGCAAAACAACAACUGCGAACAAAGCAUGGAAUUAUCACUUUUCUACUUUUUUUUAUCAAGAUGUCAACUCGAGUAAAACGUUACCUUCACUUCACCUGGUUCACUCACUCCAGUGCGUGUGUGUGUGUGUGUGUGUGUGAGAGUGCGCAUACAGUGGGGUGGGGUUGCUGACUGACUGGGAGUGAGAGAUGCUUUGCUGACGCAAUGGCACAAAGCACAAUGUUAGAGAUCUUUUUACAUUGUAAUCGGUUAUAUUUUGUAUUACUGUACAUAGCAAACAUAAUGGAUAAAACAGUAUGUUCUGCAUGUGAACUGCAGAAGGACUCUGGGAAAGCGAUAGGUUUUCAUGUGUCACUUCAGGGUCCUCACAGCUGAAGUGCGACAAUUAUGUGUGGAUGUGAGUGCUUGAACUAUAUCCUAUUUGUGCAGCACAGGCAAAGAUGCUUUAGAUCUCAAAAUAAGAAUUACACCAAGUUGCACUGAAGCAUUGUGUUUAGAAAUUGUUCCAUCUAGCUUUAAUGGCAGCCUUGAGACACAUACCAGAGAAUAAAUACAGUUAAAACCUUCUAAACUCACACUUCAACACUUUACAAAUUUGCAAUAGCUUCAAUCAAGCUGGAAUUCAUUCAUUCAAAUUUACAAGCAAAGAAAUUUCCUGACUUCUCCCUCAAGGAUUUUCUCAAAGGCUUGCUCACCUACUUAGAAAAUGUUGAGGUAAAUGCAGCUGGAGUGUUUUUGUGAGUUCUCAGCAGAUUUUGAAUUAUGUGUUCACCUUUAAUUCUUCGUGUAUGGCACUGUUUUUAUUCACCACUAUUAAAUCAGCCCGAAUGUGGUCAGAAGCCAACAUGAAUGCUUAGUUCUACCACCUAACCAAAAUGAAUAAAAUAAUUAUUUUUUGUGUGAAAUUCUGUUUUCUACCCUUUUAACUUUCUGUUCCUUUGCCUGUAUUCAGGAGCUGCUGUCCUCCCAAGCAGCUCUCAGGUCUUUUCGUUCUGUGCUGCUGAAUGAUUUUUGGCUGGACUGCAGCAAAGCGGGGGCCGGCCCUGUAGAUGCGAAAGUCUGUCUGUGACUUACUGAGUGAAUGAGUUACUGAGUGAGUGAUGAAGAUUCACUUUUGGUCUGUCGAGUGUUGGAGUCUCCUGAUUGGCCAUUGCUCUUUCAAAAUGAAUGGGCACGAACAGUCCUGAAUUACGUCCUCGGGAGGUAACGCUCGACUCGAGGUGCGAUGAUUUCACUUUUGGCGCACACACCCUUGCGCCAGGAACACUGCAACGAGCAUAAACAAACAAAUAUUUACAGCGAGGCGCUGGCAGUCCUCUGACGUCUUCAGGUGGGCUUUCACAGCGGUUCUCUGAGGACUACAGAUUUCUGAAUUCAUCGACCAGACCAUGUUGUCUAUCUCUCCGAGGUAAGUAAAAUGCUUCACUAGCUUAGCAGACAGUUUACACCUCUCCUUGUUGCAACAACAGCUACAGUCAUGUAGGCUGAUCAUUGAAAAGGCGGAUACAGCACUGAAAUUUAGAGACAAUCUAAAUGGCAGUAGCGUUUAAAUGUGUUUUCCUGUUGAAAGCGAAUCUAGGCCCAUCGCCGAAGUGUACGGCGUACCGGUCUACCGGUACUUUGCGUAGCAUUGACUAACAUUAACCCGUAGAUAGACAGCGACAGACUUUAGAUACACAGAAUAUUAUAACAAAUUGUCUGUACACGCCAAGAAACGCUAUGGGGAGAAAGUGGAAAUAAGACACUGAUGAUUUUGCACAAAACAAACUGGCUACAUUUUGUUCCAAACCUCCGGUAAUUUCAGCGACACUACUAGUCGACAUGUCAGGGCUUUAAGCCUUGUUUGUACUCGCGAGACACUGUGGUGCGGGACUCCCCUAAGUCUGCAACUGUCUGAGAGUAUUGUUGGGUCACCAAUGAAUCGUUUGUGAAAAUGGAUACAAAGUUAACUCACAUUGCAGAGAAAAUACCGUAACUGCUUCACUUGUUUCCGUUCUCUGUAGAACCAGGAAUCAACAGGAGUCGCAGUGCCGAAUAUAUCAUGACAUCAGGAAAUAUGCUACAACUACAGCCAAGUGUUGAUCACUGAAUCGGCAGAUGCAGCCUAAUAGAAAGACACAGAGCACUCCAUGGCAGUGUAUAGGUUGUGCCAUAAGGUCUCACAGUGUCUGAGAUCAGUGGUUAUGUGCACAGACAAAAUGCGAUCCAACAAAAAAGAGUUUGUCCUUGUCAUUGGUCACUCACAUUUGAGAUGCUUUGUGAACGGCUAUGUUGCCAUGCCAGAGGGCCGGUUCAGCUUUGGCUUCAUGUCUACACCUGGAGGAGAUGCUGAUGCUUGGCGAAGGGAAAUAUGCCGAUGACCCUCCUCUCACUCCUGAUGUAGUCUGCCUACUUUACCCAGGCAACAACUUGAAGUCCAGCCGCACCACGGAGAUGGCCGCAAAAGAUUUUACGUCUCUUCUGAAAAGCUGCUUUGCAUCGCUUGCCCCAGCUUUUUGUGUUUGAUUUCAAUCUUGAAGAAAAAUACUAUCGAGUGGCUGCUCAGCUCUGUCGGCUGCUCCUCAACAGAAGCUUUCUUUCCAUUAUGUGAUAGGCAUCUGUGGUGUCAGGAUUGUGCUCACCUUAGUAAUGACUACAGGAUGGACAAACUGACAAAUCUGAUAUGGCAGACGUCAUACUGUGUAUUACACUUGCCUGUCUAUCCUGUUCCACUCCAUUGCGUCCGGUGCACCGACAUCAUCACCAGAAAAAACCAAAGCACUUCAGCCCUCAGCCAAAAGCCAGCCUCCCACCUGUCGCCCUGCCACACAUGCUUGUUCAUCUCCAGGGUGAAGUUAUUCCUAUGUACUACCCAUUAUCUUUCAUGCCUGUGGAGGAGCCUGCUUUUCUCCCCCAAAGUGAUGAGAUCUCUCCACCUCGCUCCUCUCUCUGUGUGCACCCUGGGACGUCCACCGACGCAGUUGUUGACGACAAGCGUACCAACUAUCACUCUGUACGUGUUGUUGCGUCAUCCAUGGUCCGUCAUGUACAGAUCAACAGGUGCCGCACCUCCUGCCACCCAGGUGCCCUCGUUAAGGACAUUAACACCUCCGCCCUACGGCUGCUACGUCAUCGGCCGUCUGUCUCUGCUGUUGCGAUGCACGUGGGCACAAAUGACCUUAAGAUGCAGCAAUCAGAGAAACUUAGAGGAUUUUGUCUUCCUCAUGGACAGUGUUUUGAACACUAAUAAGCAGUGCAUCAUUUCAGGCCCACUGCCCUCCCCCCGUUUUGGCAACGUAAAAUGUCACAAGCCACAUUACAAACAGAACAAGAACAGCAUUUUAACUCCUAAAAAAUAUUUCCAAAGUCAAAUCCAUCUUGUCUCGGUCUGACGCUGGAAAACUGGUUCAUGCAUUUAUCUUCUCCAGGCUAGACUACUGUAAUGCCCUUUUUGCUGGGCUCCCCAUAAAGUCUGUGAUGGCUCCAGCUCAUUCAAAAUGCUGUAGCCAGAGUACUCUAUAUAAUCUAUACUUAGAUCACUUCACUGGCUUCCGAUAAAAUACAGAAUUGAUUUCAAAAUAUUGCUCACUGUUUACAAAUCACUUAAUGGUCUAGCUCCUAAAUACAUCUCUGAUCUGCUCACUGCUUAUAAACCCUCCAGAACCCUCAGAUCAUCAGACACUGGUCUCCUAACUGACCUAUGAUCAGUAGUGAAUCUGGUGAUGAAUUUGUUGUCUUUUAAUAUGUAUUUCAAUAUGUAUUCAUGUCUUAUUUUAUUAGUUCACAUUUGUUGUAUGUGAAGCACAUUCAGCCUACAUUGUAUGAAAUGUGCUAUAUAAAUAAAUUUGACCUGAA
Long non-coding RNA from Siniperca chuatsi (mandarin fish), 10297 nucleotides. RefSeq lists it as uncharacterized. The record is from RefSeq and is a predicted model, not a curated record. The transcript has 6 exons. NCBI's taxonomy places the organism in Eukaryota, Metazoa, Chordata, Actinopteri, Centrarchiformes, Sinipercidae.